AACAGGCUCGGCCUCUGCUCCUUUAACAGCCUCCUUAGGAGUGAAAAACUGUGAUUUUUAACUGAUCUUUCUUGGGACUCAGGGGAAUGCUCUCAAAGACUGGUGUAAUGCCUAGAGUUUUAUUAAGAGCAAAGUGGACCAUGUGGGAAAAGAAGGGGGAGGAUUCCUAACAUUGCCAUCCUAAUCCUAUCAGGCCAAAGGGGACUGUUGACAGAGCAGGUAUCGAAACUGCGCUUUUUAAAUGGUAAGAAAAAAGUGGAAGUGUCAGUGGGAAAACAUGGAAGGACCACAUGCUGAAGACAACAUUUGACAUACGCCAAUAAAAUUGGAAAUACAAUUGUUUAAGUGCACAAUUGCUCGUCUGUUUGGAAUCUCUUACUAGGGCCAACUAAGCUUCAUCUACCUUCCGUUCUUGCUACUGCUCUGCCAAAACCUGUCCUCUUCUAUAUUUUUGCUGGUGACAUGACUAGCCAAAUAAUAUCACCUGUAAGUAAAAUAACUUGUAAGCUGAAGAGGAGAAGAAGCAUAUCUCUGAAAUCCAAUUUGCAAAUUAAUAUAGUAUCAUUUGGAUUUUGGAUAAAAUUUUAGUCUUGGCCAACCAGAGUGU
Long non-coding RNA from Sceloporus undulatus (fence lizard), 607 nucleotides. RefSeq lists it as uncharacterized. The record is from RefSeq and is a predicted model, not a curated record. Lineage: Eukaryota; Metazoa; Chordata; Lepidosauria; Squamata; Phrynosomatidae. The transcript is spliced from 3 exons.